This 369-nucleotide long non-coding RNA is filed under the name Brassica napus (rape). RNAcentral describes it as "long non-coding RNA (BNAP_LNC013650)". The record is from RNAcentral. Lineage: Eukaryota; Viridiplantae; Streptophyta; Magnoliopsida; Brassicales; Brassicaceae.
CUGGAACUGAGCUAGCUUUAAAAAGAGAACCGGCAUUAAUUCCUUGGAAACAGAUUCCAUCUGAUGAGGUCUCGAAAACCUGUGACGGUAAGGACGCCAAAAUUGCCAAGGAAAGCAUGAACAGCGGAGAGAAAAGUGGAGGAACAUCGGAUUACAGAGUAGUUGUGGCAUUGGAAUUCAUGAGAUUAGGAUCAGAGAUGACCGAAAUCAUGCUCGUGAGAUGGUGUAUGUUUACGCAGACAGAUGUAAUAGUGGAGACAAUGUUGGAUAAUUCCAAGCUCGUGGAAACUUAACAUAUUAUUAGAUGUUUAAUAUGUUAAGAUAAACACAAUAAGGAAACCUAAAAAUAGGAAAAUAAAGUUUCUAUUU